AGAAGGUAACUUUACGUUUUCUGAGGUUUGCAUUCAUCAGAACCAUCAAAUAUGCAUUUUCUUAAAGUCGCAGUGCUCCUUGUAGCAGUUCUUGCUGCAGUGUUCGGAACCAGCAUGGCCAAGGGUCAUGGUGGUGGUCAUGGUCAUGGUCAUGGAGGUGGUCAUGGAGGUGGAAAGGGUCAUGGCGGCAAAGGUCAUGGUGGUGGCCAUGGGGGCAAGGGACACGGAGGCCAUGGUGGCGGACACGGGGGCAAAGGACAUGGAGGCGGCCAUGGAGGAAAGGGGCACCAUGGAUAAACAUAGCAGCUGAAAGAUGUGUCACGAGAAAGCCCUUGUUUUUUAUUCCACUGCUGCUGGACAACGGGGAAAC
Haliotis rufescens (red abalone) is the source of this 370-nucleotide long non-coding RNA. RefSeq lists it as uncharacterized. The record is from RefSeq and is a predicted model, not a curated record. The transcript is spliced from 3 exons. NCBI's taxonomy places the organism in Eukaryota, Metazoa, Mollusca, Gastropoda, Lepetellida, Haliotidae.